Long non-coding RNA from Polyodon spathula (Mississippi paddlefish), 598 nucleotides. RefSeq lists it as uncharacterized. The record is from RefSeq and is a predicted model, not a curated record. Lineage: Eukaryota; Metazoa; Chordata; Actinopteri; Acipenseriformes; Polyodontidae. The transcript is spliced from 3 exons.
UUUCUAUUAGCUGUACAAGGAUAGUCAAAUUUGUCAUGUGAUUUGGUUUUCAACUCUUUUAUGGUCAUGUGGCACUCUGAGCUUUUUUGUCUUGUAUGCUUUUGGUCAAUUUCUCUCACGUAGACGAGCUCAUAAGGGGAGUGAUUGACUGCAUCUUCCUGUUUGUUUGCGAGCCAUGUGCCCCCAAGGCAAGUGGAAUAAGAGCCACUCGCUUUACAAUAAAUAAUGUAAAACACAGAAUGCUUGCUUGGCUUCUAGUUCGGUUGCACAGAGGGCGCGUCAUCGUUAAUAGGAGGAGUGUGUUGUGAAAAAACGGGCGUGUCAUGGAUAUAUAAAAUUUAAAAGCACGCUGCUGAACGCCGUAAUAGCCUGUGUCAGCUUAAUUUUUUUUUUCGCUCUGAUAAAAGCGGUUUGGAUGUAAAAACAGGAUCACCAUGUACUCCAUUGUGAACGGCAAUCUUGUUUUACCAAUUCUGUUUCUCCAGGCAUCGUUCACUACAGCCGAGAAGGAGUGUGAGGACCCUAAAACGUGUCAAAGUGAGAACUUCAAGUGGUCUAAUCUGUGGUAUGUGUGGUGAGUUAUCAUAUUUAUAUUCGU